UACAAUGUAUCCCAAUCUUGUUAAAAAUUAAUAAAACAAACAUCAUAUUUGUAUGUACUCCAUGAUGUAUAAAUCUGGCUGUUAUUGUACUUUGAACACUAUUGAAAAAGAAAUAAUAUGAGUAUUUUUCAGACGAAAAAGAAAAGAUGGUACCACUCCAUAUUUCAUGAUUGAGUAUGUACAAGAUUUAUAGUAACCACCACCGAUUCAU
Molecule: long non-coding RNA, 211 nt
Filed under: Lathyrus oleraceus (garden pea)
Lineage: Eukaryota; Viridiplantae; Streptophyta; Magnoliopsida; Fabales; Fabaceae
Description: Pisum sativum (pea) long non-coding RNA (PSAT_LNC021432)
Source: RNAcentral